Molecule: non-coding RNA, 354 nt
Filed under: Acidovorax temperans
Lineage: Bacteria; Pseudomonadati; Pseudomonadota; Betaproteobacteria; Burkholderiales; Comamonadaceae
Source: RNAcentral
CUAUCAUCCCCGUCCUCAGGUGCCCAAUGCGAUGACGCAACGGGAGAAUCGGGAAGGCGGUGCAACUCCGCCGCGUGCCCAACGCUGUAAGGACGAUGCCGCGCACAAAUGCCACUGGCUGCCCUGGUGCAGUGUUUCACGCUAUCUGACACAUAAAAAGGCUUCUUUUCGGCCCUGGCUGCGUUGCAAAUCCUCGCGAUAACGCCUGGUAUCGCUGUGGUUUGCGCCUUGCCAGACCCGAAAAUCCAUCCUUUUUUCUUCGUGUCAUCCAGCGUAAAACACUGCACUGGCCGGGAAGGUGUGUGAAGGCAGACGACUCCAAGCCAGAAGACCGGCCUGAGCCAUUUUUGGCGC